Long non-coding RNA from Poecilia latipinna (sailfin molly), 1750 nucleotides. RefSeq lists it as uncharacterized. The record is from RefSeq and is a predicted model, not a curated record. NCBI's taxonomy places the organism in Eukaryota, Metazoa, Chordata, Actinopteri, Cyprinodontiformes, Poeciliidae. The transcript has 3 exons.
AAAAAAAACACUAGAAUGGAUAUACAUUUAAAAAAAUUGUAAACAAAAACAUGGAUAUGAGUUCUUGGCAGAUCUGACCUGAAACAUCUUGUUAAUGCUCAUAGUUACACUUUAAACAUGCUGAAAUGCAGGAGCAUCUAUCUUGUGAUUACCACAGUAGCUAAGUAAGCAAAGUGCACCCAUACAAAUGGCUUAUUAACAAUUCAUAAGUCUAAUACACAGUAAGGUAUUGGAGUACUGGCUAUUAUAUCGCAGAAAAAACGUAAAAUUCUCUGCUUGAUUGUUGUAGGACGUAGAUAGACUUCAUUGUACUUUAAGAUUUGACUGCAUGCAGACUCGAUAAUGAAGAGGUGAAACAUUAAUGGCUUUAUGUUUUAUUAUUAUUUUUUUCUCUUAUGGUGAAUUUGAUCCAAACUCCUCUCUCCCCUAGUGGAGCUCCAGCUGAACUGGAAACCUCUCGCUGGCAGGUCGGCUCUCUGUGCUGAUCUCACUGGCUCGGCUUUCUGCAGGCUUAUCACAAGUCACAUUUCACAUUGAAAUGACCGGCUUGGCGUUACUUCUUCAGCUGACUCAGUUGCCAAGCAACAUUAAGGUCCUUUAAAUUCUACCAGGUAGCUAUUUACAGCCUCUCCCGACAGAGAGUCUGAACAGUGACAGAACAUGUCUGCGUUAACAACAGAGCAGACAUGUUUCACGUAAACGUUGCUUCAUUUGAGUUUUUCUGUAGUGCUGAUGUGAACAUGUCUGCCAGCCAAGUUUGGGUUUGACUGCAAGAACUUCAAGUGUGGAACUUCUUCAUGAUAUAAAUCUCAAAAUUCUUUUUAGCUCUUCCUAAAAAAAAUAAAUAAAAAUAAAAAUAUCGUAUUGACCCCAAAAGGAAAUCAAAUUUAUUUAAUUUUGGGCUUUAAGUUGUGGCCUGAUCAGAGUUAUAGUUAUAAGUUAAAUAAUUAUUGCCGAAAUAGGUGGUGUAAUUUAUUUCGGAUGCCCAGAAUAAUUAGGAAAACAAUCAGAACAAAAUCUGUAGGACUCUUGUCAAGAGAAUCAGGCUAAGCUAACCUGUUAGCCUAUUGUUCUAAUGCUAAACCCUACUAGCGAUCAUCAUGGACUAAGCUUAGCUAUGUCUUUAUAGGAUAUUUAUGGUCAUAUUUCUGUAGUUUGCAAAAGAAAUUAUUCUAAUUUUUUUAGGACAGCUCUGUCUGUCUGUGACUGAGUAAACUGUUGUGAUGCCAGCAGCUAAUUCUCGACGUCUCCAGAUGUUUCCUUCAGUCUACUGACGAGCUAACAGAUCAUGAGUGAAUCAUAAUAAUGUGUCAGAAAAUUGUGACUGGGGAAAAAAAAAUAACAUAAAUUAUGAUAACUGGUAAAAAAAAAUUACGACUUUUUGAGAUUUUACACAAAUAUUUGAGUUUUUAGUUUUAGUUUUGCGUGCGAAACCCUGAGCAAAUUUCCUGCUAAGACUUGGAAAAGAUGUCUUUGACAAAGAACACGUGAAAGCAGCUGAAAAAUGAAGAGAUAUCUAUAUCUUACUGACAAGUUGUUGGGAUUGAGCAACAAAUUCACCGAGCUUAAAUUUAAUCAAAUAUCUGUUGGGUAGUUUCAGACCGGACCUACAAACUGAAAAAAGUCUAAAUUUGAGUGCAUGUUUUGAGGCUAAACUUCGACAACUGGUCACAACGUCCUGAACUAUUGUGCUUGGAAGGUAAGGUAAUUAAUUUCUCUUCAUUUCUGUUCAUUUAUAUAGUUGAUUUUA